RNAcentral lists this ribosomal RNA (445 nucleotides) under uncultured bacterium. Its description in RNAcentral is "partial 16S ribosomal RNA". It matches the Rfam family "Bacterial small subunit ribosomal RNA", at positions 331 to 793 of the family's 1533-position model. The record is from RNAcentral.
CAAGACUCCUACGGGAGGCAGCAGUGGGGGAUAUUGCAAAAUGGGGGGAACCCUGAUGCAGCGACGCCGCGUGAGCGAAGAAGUAUUUCGGUAUGUAAAGCUCUAUCAGCAGGGAAGAAAUUGACGGUACCUGAGUAAGAAGCUCCGGCUAAAUACGUGCCAGCAGCCGCGGUAAUACGUAUGGAGCAAGCGUUAUCCGGAUUUACUGGGUGUAAAGGGAGCGUAGGCGGCCUGCCAAGUCUGAUGUGAAACCCCGGGGCUCAACCCCGGGCAUGCAUUGGAAACUGGCGGGCUGGAGUGCCGGAGAGGUAAGCGGAAUUCCUAGUGUAGCGGUGAAAUGCGUAGAUAUUAGGAGGAACACCAGUGGCGAAGGCGGCUUACUGGACGGCAACUGACGCUGAGGCUCGAAAGCGUGGGGAGCAAACAGGAUUAGAUACCCGGGUAA